UACGAAGGGUGCGAGCGUUAUUCGGAGUUAUUGGGCGUAAAGAGCGCGUAGGCGGUCAUGUAAGUCAGUUGUUAAAGAACCCAGCUUAACUGGGUAAAGGCGAUUGAAACUGCGUGGCUAGAGGGUAAGAGAGAUAAGCGGAAUUCUCGGAGUAGCGGUAAAAUGCGUAGAUCUCGAGAGGAACACCGGUGGCGAAGGCGGCUUAUUGGCUUACAUCUGACGCUAAAGUGCGAAAGCGUGGGGAGCAAACAGG
RNAcentral lists this ribosomal RNA (253 nucleotides) under uncultured bacterium. RNAcentral describes it as "partial 16S ribosomal RNA". It matches the Rfam family "Bacterial small subunit ribosomal RNA", at positions 524 to 776 of the family's 1533-position model. The record is from RNAcentral.